UGCCAGUAGUUAUAUGCUUGUCUCAAAGAUUAAGCCAUGCAUGUCUAAGUACAAGCGAAAAUAAAGUGAAACCGCAAAAGGCUCAUUAUAUCAGUUAUGGUUCCUUAGAUCGUAUCCACAAUUACUUGGAUAACUGUGGUAAUUCUAGAGCUAAUACAUGCACUUAAAGAGAAACCAUUUCAUAUGGGAUCUCUGCUUUUAUUAGAUUUAAACCAAUGGGGAAUGUUUCGGCAUUCUCAAUCAAAAUGGUUGAACUCUGGAUAAUUUGUUGAUCGCAUGGUCUCGUACCGGCGACGGAUCUUUCAAAUGUCUGCCCUAUCAACUAUUGAAGGUAGUGUCUUGGACUACCUUGGUUGCAACGGGUAACGGGGAAUCAGGGUUCGAUUCCGGAGAGGGAGCCUGAGAAACGGCUACCACAUCUAAGGAAGGCAGCAGGCGCGUAAAUUACCCACUCCCGGCACGGGGAGGUAGUGACGAAAAAUAACAAUACAAGACUCACAUCCGAGGCCUUGUAAUUGGAAUGAGUACACUUUAAAUCCUUUAACAAGGAUCAAUUGGAGGGCAAGUCUGGUGCCAGCAGCCGCGGUAAUUCCAGCUCCAAUAGCGUAUAUUAAAGUUGUUGCGGUUAAAACGUUCGUAGUUGAACUUGUGUUUCGCACGGGCAGUGCCUAGGACUAGGUAACUAGGACGGUACGUUGUCUUAUCUUUCCUAUUCUUAAUCGGAUUUGGAAAAAGUGCGUGAACGUAUUAUCGGCGUGCUCGCGUUCUACGAGCAUAAGCCCAUCUCAGUGCUCUUAAAUGAGUGUUGUUGUGGGCCGAUACAAAUUACUUUGAACAAAUUAGAGUGCUUAAAGCAGGCUUUUAAUGCCUGAAUAUUUUGUGCAUGGAAUAAUGGAAUAGGACAUCUGUUCUACUUUCAUUGGUUUAUUAGACCAAGAUGUAAUGAUUAAUGGAAGCAGUUGGGGGCAUUAGUAUUACAACGCGAGAGGUGAAAUUCUUAGACCGUUGUAAGACUGACUAAAGCGAAAGCAUUUGCCAAAGAUGUUUUCAUUUAAUCAAGAACGAAAGUUAGAGGUUCGAAGGCGAUCAGAUACCGCCCUAGUUCUAACCAUAAACGAUGCCAGCUAGCAAUUGGAUGUAGCUACUUCUAUGGCUCUUUCAGUCGCUUCUCGGGAAACCAAAGCUUUUGGGCUCCGGGGGAAGUAUGGUUGCAAAGCUGAAACUUAAAGGAAUUGACGGAAGGGCACCACCAGGAGUGGAGCCUGCGGCUUAAUUUGACUCAACACGGGGAAACUUACCAGGUCCGAACAUAAAUGAGUAAGACAGAUUGAUAGCUCUUUCUCGAAUCUAUGGGUGGUGGUGCAUGGCCGUUCUUAGUUCGUGGAGUGAUUUGUCUGGGUAAUUCCGAUAACGAACGAGACUCAAAUAUAUUAAAUAGAUGCAUUCAGGACUAUGGCGCUGAAGCUUUGCAUGCCCUUUUGUUUAUUCAUCGAUUGGGUGCAAUUUCGGUUGUACAUGAAAGAUGUGUGACAAAUGAGUGGUUAUGUAGGUGGAGUCAUACCUGUUUGUUUGUCUAAAUAUACAAAAUAGACACUUAGCUUCUUAAAUGGACAAAUUGUGUCUAACAAUAAUGAGAUUGAGCAAUAACAGGUCUU
This 1655-nucleotide ribosomal RNA is filed under the name Robsonomyia sp. DK-2014. RNAcentral's name for it is "SSU rRNA". It matches the Rfam family "Eukaryotic small subunit ribosomal RNA", at positions 15 to 1464 of the family's 1831-position model. Lineage: Eukaryota; Metazoa; Arthropoda; Insecta; Diptera; Keroplatidae. The record is from RNAcentral.